AUGAAAGAGAUGUUGUUCAAAAAGCACAUCCUUGGUGUUGUGGUAGCGCAUGUGUAUGUCGUCGAGUUCCAGAAGAGGGGCCUCCCCCAUGCACACUUCCUGUUGAUCAUGAAUUCAAAUUAUAAACUCGUGGUGCCAGAGCAGUAUGACCGCAUCAUAUCUGCAGAGCUCCCAGACAGGCAUAAGUAUCCAGAGCUCUAUGCCAUGGUCGUGAAGCAUAUGAUGCACGGCCCAUGUGGCAAUCUUAAUCCCAAAAAUGUGUGCAUGCAAGACUUGAAGUGCAAGAGCAAGUACCCACGACCGUUCAACCAAAACACCUUACAAGGGAAGGAUUCAUACCCGGUUUAUCGACGGCGAGACGAUGGUCGUCAGGCUAAGGUCCGUCGUCAAAUGUUGGAUAACAGAUGGGUCGUGCCUUACAACCCUUAUCUGUUGCGGAUGUUCAACUGCCACAUAAAUGUCGAGGUGUGCUCCAGCAUCAAGGCCGUCAAGUACCUUUACAAAUACGUAUACAAGGGUCACGAUCGAGCUUCAUUCAGCAUUGACCAGCCUGACAGCAACGGGGUUGUAGACGAGAUUAAAAGGUACGUUGAUGCGAGAUGGGUUACUCCACCAGAGGCAAUGUGGAGGAUAUUCGGCUUCAACCUUUCUGGGAGUUUCCCGUCGGUCCUACAGUUGCCGCUUCAUCUCCCUAAUAUGAAUAGUGUCACGUUCAAAGCAGGAGAGGACCUGACUGAUGUCGUCGCCCGUGAUACUGCAUCUAAGUCAAUGCUGACAGAGUAUUUCCUCGCUAAUCAGCAGCAUGUGUGGGCUCGGGAUAUCCUGUACAAGGACUU
This 836-nucleotide ribosomal RNA is filed under the name Triticum aestivum (bread wheat). Its description in RNAcentral is "partial small subunit ribosomal RNA". Lineage: Eukaryota; Viridiplantae; Streptophyta; Magnoliopsida; Poales; Poaceae. The record is from RNAcentral.